Molecule: microRNA, 22 nt
Filed under: Gallus gallus (chicken)
Lineage: Eukaryota; Metazoa; Chordata; Aves; Galliformes; Phasianidae
Description: gga-miR-12295-3p
Source: miRBase by way of RNAcentral
CGCUGCCCGCCCCAUCCCGACC